This 467-nucleotide ribosomal RNA is filed under the name uncultured bacterium. Its description in RNAcentral is "partial 16S ribosomal RNA". It matches the Rfam family "Bacterial small subunit ribosomal RNA", at positions 29 to 507 of the family's 1533-position model. The record is from RNAcentral.
ACGAACGCUGGCGGCGUGCUUAACACAUGCAAGUCGCACGGAAAGGCCCUGCUUUUGUGGGGUGCUCGCGUGGCGAACGGGUGCGUAACCCGUGAGUCACCUGCCCUUGACUUUGGGAUAACUUCAGGAAACUGGUGCUAAUACCGGCUAGGAGCUCCUGCUGCAUGGUGGGGGUUGGAAAGUUUCGGCGGUUGGGGAUGGACUCGCGGCUUAUCAGCUUGUUGGUGGGGUAGUGGCUUACCAAGGCUUUGACGGGUAGCCGGCCUGAGAGGGUGACCGGCCACAGUGGGACUGAGAGACGGCCCAGACUCCUACGGGAGGCAGCAGUGGGGAAUAUUGCACAAUGGGCGGAAGCCUGAUGCAGCAACGCCGCGUGCGGGAUGACGGCCUUCGGGUUGUAAACCGCUUUCGCCUGUGACGAAGCGUGAGUGACGGUAAUGGGUAAAGAAGCACCGGCUAACUACGUG